GAUGAACGCUGGCGGCGUGCUUAACACAUGCAAGUCGAACGGGUCUAGUUUACUAGGCUAGUGGCGGACGGGUGCGUAACACGUAGGUGACCUGCCCUGGAGUGGGGAAUAAUUCCGCGAAAGCGGGACUAAUACCGCAUGAAGUUGCUCAUUCGUUUGGGCAACCAAAGUCGCAAGAUGCUUCUGGAUGGGGCCUGCGGCGGAUUAGCUAGUUGGUGGGGUAAAGGCCUACCAAGGCGAUGAUCCGUAGGGGGCGUGAGAGCGUGACCCCCCACAUUGGCACUGAGACACGGGCCAAACUCCUACGGGAGGCUG
This 315-nucleotide ribosomal RNA is filed under the name uncultured Chloroflexota bacterium. RNAcentral describes it as "bacterial SSU rRNA". It matches the Rfam family "Bacterial small subunit ribosomal RNA", at positions 28 to 351 of the family's 1533-position model. Lineage: Bacteria; Bacillati; Chloroflexota. The record is from RNAcentral.